AUUAUAUUGGCAGAGAUAAUGCAUUAGAAUUAGAAUCUAAUUAACUAUACAUCA
Molecule: transfer RNA, 54 nt
Filed under: Lycosa fasciiventris
Lineage: Eukaryota; Metazoa; Arthropoda; Arachnida; Araneae; Lycosidae
Description: tRNA-Leu
Source: RNAcentral